AGAGCGAACGCUGGCGGCGUGCUUAACACAUGCAAGUCGAGUGCGCGCCUGUAGCAAUACAGGUGGCGCACGGCGCACGGGUGCGUAACACGUGGGUAAUCUGCCCUUCGAUGGGGAAUAACCUCGCGAAAGCGAGGCUAAUUCCGCAUAACAUUCCGAUGGUUCCGAUCAAUGGACUCAAAGCCGUAAGGCGUCGGAGGAGGAGCCCGCGCACGAUUAGCUAGUUGGUGAGGUAACGGCUCACCAAGGCUUUGAUCGUUA
RNAcentral lists this ribosomal RNA (261 nucleotides) under uncultured bacterium. Its description in RNAcentral is "partial small subunit ribosomal RNA". It matches the Rfam family "Bacterial small subunit ribosomal RNA", at positions 26 to 285 of the family's 1533-position model. The record is from RNAcentral.